AGCCUUUUGAAUUUAUGGAAGGUGAUGUCUGCCCGGUGACUUUAGUUAGUUUAACGGCCGCGAAAAUACGUGCUAAGGUAGCAUAAUCAUUUGUUUUUUAAUUGGAGGCUAGUAUGAAGGGAUGAACGAAGUUCAGCUGUCUCCGUUAAUAAAGUAAAAAUUGAUUUGUAAAUGAAAAAUUUUACAUUUUGGCAUAGGACGAAAAGACCCUAUAGAGUUUUAGUAUAGUUUUUGGUUAGUGUAAUCAAUGGUUGAUAAAAGAAUGGCUAAUUUAGGAUGUACUUUUAUUGGGGCAAUAUAAGAAUUUUGAAGAUUCUUUUUGUAAGUUUUUGUUAUAGUAAUGGUGUAUGGAUCCUUGAAAAGAAUUAAGAAAAAGCUACCUUAGGGAUAACAGCGUAAUCUUCCCAGAGAGAUCUAAUCGAAGGGAAGGUUUGCGACCUCGAUGUUGGACUAAGGUAACUUUAAGGUGUAGAAGCUUUAAUAGGUGGCCUGUUCGGCCUUUAAUUUCUUACAUG
Molecule: ribosomal RNA, 515 nt
Filed under: Cellaria mandibulata
Lineage: Eukaryota; Metazoa; Bryozoa; Gymnolaemata; Cheilostomatida; Cellariidae
Description: partial 16S ribosomal RNA
Rfam family: Bacterial large subunit ribosomal RNA
Source: RNAcentral